This 2931-nucleotide ribosomal RNA is filed under the name Escherichia coli. RNAcentral describes it as "23S ribosomal RNA". It matches the Rfam family "Bacterial large subunit ribosomal RNA". Lineage: Bacteria; Pseudomonadati; Pseudomonadota; Gammaproteobacteria; Enterobacterales; Enterobacteriaceae. The record is from RNAcentral.
GGGUUGUGAGGUUAAGCGACUAAGCGUACACGGUGGAUGCCCUGGCAGUCAGAGGCGAUGAAGGACGUGCUAAUCUGCGAUAAGCGUCGGUAAGGUGAUAUGAACCGUUAUAACCGGCGAUUUCCGAAUGGGGAAACCCAGUGUGUUUCGACACACUAUCAUUAACUGAAUCCAUAGGUUAAUGAGGCGAACCGGGGGAACUGAAACAUCUAAGUACCCCGAGGAAAAGAAAUCAACCGAGAUUCCCCCAGUAGCGGCGAGCGAACGGGGAGCAGCCCAGAGCCUGAAUCAGUGUGUGUGUUAGUGGAAGCGUCUGGAAAGGCGCGCGAUACAGGGUGACAGCCCCGUACACAAAAAUGCACAUGCUGUGAGCUCGAUGAGUAGGGCGGGACACGUGGUAUCCUGUCUGAAUAUGGGGGGACCAUCCUCCAAGGCUAAAUACUCCUGACUGACCGAUAGUGAACCAGUACCGUGAGGGAAAGGCGAAAAGAACCCCGGCGAGGGGAGUGAAAAAGAACCUGAAACCGUGUACGUACAAGCAGUGGGAGCACGCUUAGGCGUGUGACUGCGUACCUUUUGUAUAAUGGGUCAGCGACUUAUAUUCUGUAGCAAGGUUAACCGAAUAGGGGAGCCGAAGGGAAACCGAGUCUUAACUGGGCGUUAAGUUGCAGGGUAUAGACCCGAAACCCGGUGAUCUAGCCAUGGGCAGGUUGAAGGUUGGGUAACACUAACUGGAGGACCGAACCGACUAAUGUUGAAAAAUUAGCGGAUGACUUGUGGCUGGGGGUGAAAGGCCAAUCAAACCGGGAGAUAGCUGGUUCUCCCCGAAAGCUAUUUAGGUAGCGCCUCGUGAAUUCAUCUCCGGGGGUAGAGCACUGUUUCGGCAAGGGGGUCAUCCCGACUUACCAACCCGAUGCAAACUGCGAAUACCGGAGAAUGUUAUCACGGGAGACACACGGCGGGUGCUAACGUCCGUCGUGAAGAGGGAAACAACCCAGACCGCCAGCUAAGGUCCCAAAGUCAUGGUUAAGUGGGAAACGAUGUGGGAAGGCCCAGACAGCCAGGAUGUUGGCUUAGAAGCAGCCAUCAUUUAAAGAAAGCGUAAUAGCUCACUGGUCGAGUCGGCCUGCGCGGAAGAUGUAACGGGGCUAAACCAUGCACCGAAGCUGCGGCAGCGACGCUUAUGCGUUGUUGGGUAGGGGAGCGUUCUGUAAGCCUGUGAAGGUGUACUGUGAGGUAUGCUGGAGGUAUCAGAAGUGCGAAUGCUGACAUAAGUAACGAUAAAGCGGGUGAAAAGCCCGCUCGCCGGAAGACCAAGGGUUCCUGUCCAACGUUAAUCGGGGCAGGGUGAGUCGACCCCUAAGGCGAGGCCGAAAGGCGUAGUCGAUGGGAAACAGGUUAAUAUUCCUGUACUUGGUGUUACUGCGAAGGGGGGACGGAGAAGGCUAUGUUGGCCGGGCGACGGUUGUCCCGGUUUAAGCGUGUAGGCUGGUUUUCCAGGCAAAUCCGGAAAAUCAAGGCUGAGGCGUGAUGACGAGGCACUACGGUGCUGAAGCAACAAAUGCCCUGCUUCCAGGAAAAGCCUCUAAGCAUCAGGUAACAUCAAAUCGUACCCCAAACCGACACAGGUGGUCAGGUAGAGAAUACCAAGGCGCUUGAGAGAACUCGGGUGAAGGAACUAGGCAAAAUGGUGCCGUAACUUCGGGAGAAGGCACGCUGAUAUGUAGGUGAAGUCCCUCGCGGAUGGAGCUGAAAUCAGUCGAAGAUACCAGCUGGCUGCAACUGUUUAUUAAAAACACAGCACUGUGCAAACACGAAAGUGGACGUAUACGGUGUGACGCCUGCCCGGUGCCGGAAGGUUAAUUGAUGGGGUUAGCGCAAGCGAAGCUCUUGAUCGAAGCCCCGGUAAACGGCGGCCGUAACUAUAACGGUCCUAAGGUAGCGAAAUUCCUUGUCGGGUAAGUUCCGACCUGCACGAAUGGCGUAAUGAUGGCCAGGCUGUCUCCACCCGAGACUCAGUGAAAUUGAACUCGCUGUGAAGAUGCAGUGUACCCGCGGCAAGACGGAAAGACCCCGUGAACCUUUACUAUAGCUUGACACUGAACAUUGAGCCUUGAUGUGUAGGAUAGGUGGGAGGCUUUGAAGUGUGGACGCCAGUCUGCAUGGAGCCGACCUUGAAAUACCACCCUUUAAUGUUUGAUGUUCUAACGUUGACCCGUAAUCCGGGUUGCGGACAGUGUCUGGUGGGUAGUUUGACUGGGGCGGUCUCCUCCUAAAGAGUAACGGAGGAGCACGAAGGUUGGCUAAUCCUGGUCGGACAUCAGGAGGUUAGUGCAAUGGCAUAAGCCAGCUUGACUGCGAGCGUGACGGCGCGAGCAGGUGCGAAAGCAGGUCAUAGUGAUCCGGUGGUUCUGAAUGGAAGGGCCAUCGCUCAACGGAUAAAAGGUACUCCGGGGAUAACAGGCUGAUACCGCCCAAGAGUUCAUAUCGACGGCGGUGUUUGGCACCUCGAUGUCGGCUCAUCACAUCCUGGGGCUGAAGUAGGUCCCAAGGGUAUGGCUGUUCGCCAUUUAAAGUGGUACGCGAGCUGGGUUUAGAACGUCGUGAGACAGUUCGGUCCCUAUCUGCCGUGGGCGCUGGAGAACUGAGGGGGGCUGCUCCUAGUACGAGAGGACCGGAGUGGACGCAUCACUGGUGUUCGGGUUGUCAUGCCAAUGGCACUGCCCGGUAGCUAAAUGCGGAAGAGAUAAGUGCUGAAAGCAUCUAAGCACGAAACUUGCCCCGAGAUGAGUUCUCCCUGAGACUUUAAGUCUCCUGAAGGAACGUUGAAGACGACGACGUUGAUAGGCCGGGUGUGUAAGCGCAGCGAUGCGUUGAGCUAACCGGUACUAAUGAACCGUGAGGCUUAACCUUACAACGCCGAAGGUGUUU